CUUGAAAUGAAGAAGCAUUAUUGGCUGCCACAAGCUGGCAGGUGUGCAAUGAUGACCAGCCAUUCAACUAACAACCAAUCGGUAAUCUAGUAUGAACUAGGAUACUCUGUGGUCAGACCAUUUGAUGUACUGGAGGAGAGUAUACCCAAUUCAUCUUUUCAUCCGCCCUUUGGCAAGAUGUAGGUUUCUAGCAGAACUCCUUGAUACUGCCAGGAUUUGCGCGGAAUUAGGGAACACAGUGGGUAAAUGGGCCAUCAGUACCAGCUCAUGGUCAACCUUUGGUCCAGACAGACUUGACCCUGUUUCAGCACCAUUUAGAAUUGUUCUCUGAUUGCACCAACUAGCAUGUCUACAACUCACGAUGUAACAGCUCUUCAUCUACUGAGGUGGUGGGAACCAGUGCUAAGCUGAGGGAAAAUGAGCAGUCUUCAAGCUGUGAUGACUCUCUCAAUUGGCCUGUUAUCAGGAAACUGUGGGUGGUGCUUUCAAAACAGCCACUUGUCCAGCCAGAUGAACACAUUUUACUUCAAGGUGCUAUAUGCCCUGCUCAAGAAGUUUUAUCUAAAUUGAUGGCAGCCAGCAUUGUGAUGGGAGAAAACCAGGCCGGGGAAUCGCUUGUCCAUUCAGAGGUUGCCAACAUGAGCAGGACUUGAACUCACAGCGAUAGGAAAUCAUCAUUACAUUAACGUCAUCAAAUGAUUAUUGGUGCAGUCUAUAAAUCAAUGUCGAGAAAAAACAUGUAUACUGAAGUUCUUAAUCUUCACAGGAUAUAUACAUGUACAUGUAUGCCUUUUUCUUACUUCAGAGGAAAUUACAGAAUAGCUAAACUGCACAGUGGAAAAUAGGACAUGGUAAAACAGUAUACAGUAAACAGUGCCCUGGGAAGAUGCCAGAGUUUCUUCAUCCAUAACCUCAAUUAUCAGUGCAGGCAAUGCUACAACUAUAUGCACUAUGCAAGUUUUUCAACAGAUAUCUUUCAAUCAAACUUACAAGCACAAUAUUGGUAUAAUGUCCUGUUAAUUUCCAUCUUUUCUCAAUGAACAUGUCAUUUGCUCUGACAAUA
Liolophura sinensis is the source of this 1063-nucleotide long non-coding RNA. RefSeq lists it as uncharacterized. The transcript is spliced from 3 exons. NCBI's taxonomy places the organism in Eukaryota, Metazoa, Mollusca, Polyplacophora, Chitonida, Chitonidae. The record is from RefSeq and is a predicted model, not a curated record.